UACGUAGGGGGCUAGCGUUGUCCGGAUUUAUUGGGCGUAAAGAGCGUGUAGGCGGCCAAACAGGUCAGCUGUGAAAACUCGAGGCUCAACCUCGAGACGUCGGUUGAAACCGUUUGGCUAGAGUCCGGAAGAGGAGAGUGGAAUUCCCGGUGUAGCGGUGAAAUGCGCAGAUAUCGGGAAGAACACCCGUGGCGAAGGCGGCUCUCUGGGCAAUAACUGACGCUGAGGAGCGAAAGCGUGGGGAGCGAACAGG
RNAcentral lists this ribosomal RNA (253 nucleotides) under uncultured bacterium. RNAcentral's name for it is "partial 16S ribosomal RNA". It matches the Rfam family "Bacterial small subunit ribosomal RNA", at positions 524 to 776 of the family's 1533-position model. The record is from RNAcentral.